Molecule: long non-coding RNA, 572 nt
Organism: Aethina tumida (small hive beetle)
Lineage: Eukaryota; Metazoa; Arthropoda; Insecta; Coleoptera; Nitidulidae
Exons: 2
Source: RefSeq, a predicted model, not a curated record
GUUGAUGUUCAACGAACAAGUGAAUUUCAAACAUUAGUUGAGGACAGAAUUAAGGGUUCAUAACUACUACGUCUUCAAUUCUCACAGUCGUCAUUCAACAAUUGUCACUUGAACACGUCCAAGAAGCUAAAAGUGCUGAGCUCAAUAUAAGGUUCGUUGCUGAUGACUCUGAAGAGAGACGAAGAAUUGAAGGCUUUUUGAGGGAACUUUUGAGAAAGCAGUUUGAAGUAUUCUACAACUCAUUGAGACAAGUAUGUACUACUGUGCAACAACGUCCUGAGGCAAUAGACGAAAUGGCAGAACAGUUACGUGGUUCGUUGGGAGCUUUUAUUAAAAAAAUGCUGAAUUUAGUAAUGCUCAUUAGGAAGUACGUCCAAAUUUUGAACACUAAUUAUGACCAUUUGGAAAUUGUGGAGAAUCUUUAAUCAUGGUCAGCAAUUUGAUUCACUUUUUGAAAUUUUUCUUAAAUUAUUAGUUAAAAUAUUUUAGGCUGUCAUAAUUAUCGUUAAGAUGUUAUUUAAAUAAAUUUCUGUGUAAAACCAUACAAUAAUAAAACUAUUGUAUUAGAAAAA